This 327-nucleotide ribosomal RNA is filed under the name uncultured bacterium. RNAcentral describes it as "bacterial SSU rRNA". It matches the Rfam family "Bacterial small subunit ribosomal RNA", at positions 570 to 898 of the family's 1533-position model. The record is from RNAcentral.
UGUAGGCGGUUUGGUAAGUCUGGUGUGAAAUCUCCCGGCUCAACUGGGAGGGUGCGCCGGAAACUGCCGGACUCGAGUGCGGGAGAGGAGAGUGGAAUUCCUGGUGUAGCGGUGAAAUGCGUAGAUAUCAGGAGGAACACCGGUGGUGUAGACGGCUCUCUGGACCGUAACUGACGCUGAAACACGAAAGCGUGGGUAGCAAACAGGAUUAGAUACCCUGGUAGUCCACGCCCUAAACGAUGCAUAUUUGGUGUGGGUCAUUCAGUUGAUCCGUGCCGGAGCUAACGCGUUAAAUAUGCCGCCUGGGAGUACAGUCGCAAGGCUGAA